Molecule: non-coding RNA, 714 nt
Organism: Emys orbicularis (European pond turtle)
Lineage: Eukaryota; Metazoa; Chordata; Testudines; Emydidae
Source: the annotation of a RefSeq genome assembly
AUGACUCAUAAUUCUGAUGCUGGGCUGCUUGAUACCCAACUGGAGACAGAGAAACCCUAUUGCUCAGAGGGUCAAGCAAAAUCCACACCCCCCUCCGUCUUCCCCCUGGUUCCCUGCUGCACCCAGACUGGCAGUGCUCCCCCGGACACAAGCUUGGCCUGCCUCGUAACUGGCUAUUUCCCAUCACCAGUGGACAUCAAGUGGAAUUCUGGCAAAGUGACCCAGGGGGUCAAGAAUUUCCCAGAGGUGACGAUGAGAGAUGGGCUCCACACCCGGAGCAGUCUGCUGAUCCUCCCUGACAGGUCCCGGCAGGGUGACACCUACCAGUGCGAUGUGACGCAUCAAGGCACAAGAAAGACAGUGUCGAAGAAGUUCCCUCAGGAAUCCUGCCUCAGAAGCUCAGUUGACCCAACCAUCUACUUAACCAGACCCUCCUAUGAAGACAUCAUCAAAAAUUCCGGUCACGUUACCUGUCUAGUUCUGGGCUAUGACUUAGCAGCCAGCAGAAUCGUAUGGAAAGUGGAUGGGCAAGUCAGCUCUGCGGUGAAGACAGAACCCCUCAAGACGAACAGCAACGGGACCACCAGCCUGGUCAGUUCUCACCCUGUGUCGCUGGCACAAUGGGGACAAGGCACCAAAUUUACCUGUAAAGUGACCACACCCUGUUCUGGAGAACUAACCCAGGAGAUAACCAUGAGCAAUACAGGUGAGUAG